UCCGUAGGUGAACCUGCGGAAGGAUCAUUAGUGAAUUCAUGGGAGUCCCUCUUAACCGGAGAAGGCCCAAUCCACUAUCUUUUUAAACCCUAGUGCAUUUGUCCCUUUUUACCAAACCCUUUUGCAUUCGAAAAGGUUGUCGUGUGAUUAAUACAUUUGAUAAAUGAAAGAAAAACUUUCAGCAAUGGAUCUCUUGGCUCUCGCAUCGAUGAAGAACGCAGCAAAGCGCGAAAUGUAAUGUGAAUUGCAGAAUUCAGUGAAUCAUCGAAUCUUUGAACGCACCUUGCGCUUUCGGGUUAUUCCUGGAAGCAUGUUCGUUUGAGUGUCGCGUACCUCUCAACCCCCUUCUUGGCAACAGGAAGCGUUUCCGGGUUGGAUCAUGACGGUCUUGUCUCUUUUCGUUAAGCAGACUCCGUUGAAAUACAACAAGCUUGACGUUGCCCGUCCAAAGCGAGCUUGACCCGUUGUCAUACGUUGUUUACAACAUUCUUCAAUGGGGAUCGCUUUAUUACAGUGACGGGUCGAUUUUAUCAGCUUACCACAAAUUGGUGUUUCCUUUGGGAAGCCCACUUUCUACAUUUGACCUCAAAUCGAGCAGGACUACCCCCUGAACUUAAGCAUAUCAAUAAGGGGAGGA
Molecule: ribosomal RNA, 637 nt
Filed under: Kurtzmanomyces tardus
Lineage: Eukaryota; Fungi; Basidiomycota; Agaricostilbomycetes; Agaricostilbales; Chionosphaeraceae
Description: eukaryotic LSU rRNA
Rfam family: 5.8S ribosomal RNA (bases 174-328)
Source: RNAcentral